ACAAUUAUACAGCAAAGUCUCCUGGGAGGGUUUAUAUGUUAAGCUCUGUCAGUAAUUUCUCCCCUAGCAAGAAUGAGGAAGAUGAAGAGCUCGGGUAUCUGAGGGCUGGUGUGUCUGCAUGCGUGUGUGUUUUGGGGGCCGACUGAAGGAAGAGAAGGCUGGAGAGAGGGAACAUGGGUCUGAGGGCACAUCGCUAAGGGGUCAAGAGGCCUAAAGGAGGAGUCUAAGGCUCUCCAUCGAACUUGGACUUGGUCUACAUUAGACUUUAACCUCCAUGAGGCUUGGACUUUCAGGCUUCCUCCCUCACACCGCGGGCAGGUGAGGCGUCUGCUACAGGCCUGGUCUCGCAGAGGGGGCCCAGCGCCCCCCGCCGCCGCCUUCUCCUGGAGUCUGUGUGACAGAAUGGGACCUGUGGGAAAGCAGCACGUCAGCACCCAGCCCCGCUUGCGCGCCAGCAGCUAAUUAAAGCCAGGAAGGUGAUGGCGAUUUUCAACUCAUUCCCGUUACAAACAGCCGACCUUCCUACCGAGUUCAAGUACCUUCUGCCUGGCCUGGAAGAACAAUAUCUCUCUGUCUCCCUCUUCCACUGGCCCUCACCUGCCUUCCCCUGAACAUGCAUUUUGCCUGACAGGAGACAGAGGCAGUUGAGAUGGAGUCUUGCUAUAUGGCCCAGCUGGUAAUGCCUAGAUUCUUGAGUCCCUCCCUGGCUCAUCCCUGGGAGCAGCACUGAACCCCUUGUCUGACACCUGUCUGGAAAUGGAGCCUGCACAUUGACCCUAGCCAUGUGUGGUCUUGUUACUAAGUGUUAGCCAGUGAGAGAACAUACAAGAGGAGGCCCAUGUUGAUUCAGAGGAUGAAUGAGAGAUGCUUGCAGCUUGGUCCAGGAGGCCAGCAGGACCAGAGAGAAGACCACAGCGACACAUGGGGAUGGCUGUCCCACAGGCAGAAAUGAGCAGCCGGGAGGAAGCCCAGGCAGCCAGCCACCCAGCUCCCUCCACAUCGUGGCCCUAGAACGGAGUCUUGAAGAAUAAGAAGCCACAGCUUGUCAGGGAAUCAGGCUGGAAAAAUGUUAUGAGACUGAGUAAGACCAGAGAUUCCUCAGCAGUGCCUGGAGAAGACCAGGAGAGGAAGCAGAAGACCCUCCUCAAAGAAGCAGCCUUCACCUCCAGACCUCCCAGCGGGACUUAGACAAUGGGGUUAGGCAGUCACAUGUCUGCACGUGGAAACUUUCUGGGACUGUGCUUGGAUCCUGGCUCUGCCUUUUACUAGCCAUGUGACCUUGGGAAAAUCACUUGACUUCUCCGUGCAGGAUUCCUCAUCUGUAAAAAUGGUCUAAGAUUAGGAGCCACCUCAAGGUUGUUGUAGGAAUUAAAUUAAUUCAUGUUUAUAAAGUGCUUUGAACAGCGUUUGGCACAUGGUAAGUGCUAUGUGGUAAGUGCUGUCUAUUGAUUACAUAAAUAAAAGUGAUCACCAUUAGACUUUCCAUGCAGAUGAUAUUAUGCAUAUACAUAUCUCCCGCAUAUGACGUCAUUGGAUCGUUUUGCAAUGGUGGGGGGUUUAUUCUUUUCCUUUUUGUUUUCUUCUUUUUUUUGUCAGAUGAAGAAACUGAUGGGAAGUGAAUUGGUUUGUAUUAAACAUUAGGUUUGCUA
Molecule: long non-coding RNA, 1649 nt
Filed under: Homo sapiens (human)
Lineage: Eukaryota; Metazoa; Chordata; Mammalia; Primates; Hominidae
Description: non-protein coding LINC01605:8
Source: RNAcentral